CAAAAGCUUGGUCCUGGCUUUGAAGUCAGCUUUGAUGAAAUUUAUACAUGCAAGUAUCCGCACCCCUGUGAGAAUGCCCCACACUUCCCACCCGAGGAAAAAAGGAGCAGGUAUCAGGCACAACUUAAUUAGCCCACAACACCUUGCUUAGCCACACCCCCAAGGGACCCCAGCAGUAAUAAAUAUUAAGCAAUAAGUGAAAACUUGACUUAGUUAAAAUCAGCCCGGGCUGGUAAACCUCGUGCCAGCUACCGCGGUUAUACGAGAAGCCCCAGUUGACAACACUCGGCGUAAAGCGUGGUUAACAAACAUAGCACUGAAGUUAAAUGCAACCCAAACAGUUAUACGUAAAUGGUAGCAAGAAGCCCACCCACGAAAGUGACUUUAAAACUGUGACUCCACGAAGACUAGGGAACAAACUGGGAUUAGAUACCCCACUAUGCCUAGAUGUAAACCAAUGCAAACUAUUACUAAUCUGCUCGCCAGGGGACAACGAGCUUAAGCUUAAAACCCAAAGGACUUGGCGGUGCUUUAGACCCCCCUAGAGGAGCCUGUUCUAGAACCGAUACCCCCCGUUCAACCUUACCCCCUCUGGCCCUCAAGCCGCCUAUAUACCGCCGUCGUCAGCCUACCUCAUGAGAGUAAAACAGUAAGCAAAACUGGUAAAGCCUAAAACGUCAGGUCGAGGUGUAGCAAAUGAGGGGGCAAGAAAUGGGCUACAUUUGCUGCCCCAGCAAAAACGGACCACCCGAUGAAACACCUGUGCAAAGGAGGAUUUAGCAGUAAAAGGGAACUAGCACAUCCUUUUGAAAUUGGCCCUGAAGCGCGCACACACCGCCCGUCACUCUCCCCAACAAACAAAAGCUAUCUAUAAUUACUAAGACCAACAAAGGGGAGGCAAGUCGUAACAUGGUAAGCAUACCGGAAGGUGUGCUUGGAAAAACC
This 945-nucleotide non-coding RNA is filed under the name Kraemeria cunicularia (transparent sand dart). Its description in RNAcentral is "12S ribosomal RNA". It matches the Rfam family "Bacterial small subunit ribosomal RNA". The record is from RNAcentral. Lineage: Eukaryota; Metazoa; Chordata; Actinopteri; Gobiiformes; Kraemeriidae.